UAAUGUAUGGGGAUCUGCCCGAUAGAGGGGGAUAACUACUGGAAACGGUGGCUAAUACCGCAUAAUGUCUACGGACCAAAGCAGGGGCUCUUCGGACCUUGCACUAUCGGAUGAACCCAUAUGGGAUUAGCUAGUAGGUGGGGUAAAGCUCACCUAGGCGACGAUCUCUAGCUGGUCUGAGAGGAUGAUCAGCCACACUGGGACUGAGACACGGCCCAG
This 219-nucleotide ribosomal RNA is filed under the name uncultured bacterium. RNAcentral's name for it is "partial 16S ribosomal RNA". It matches the Rfam family "Bacterial small subunit ribosomal RNA", at positions 111 to 334 of the family's 1533-position model. The record is from RNAcentral.